GGCUAUUAGCUCAGUGGUAGAGCGCGCCCCUGAUAAGGGCGAGGUCUCUGGUUCAAGUCCAGGAUGGCCCAG
RNAcentral lists this transfer RNA (72 nucleotides) under Cucurbita moschata (crookneck pumpkin). RNAcentral describes it as "tRNA-Ile". It matches the Rfam family "tRNA". From Rfam's summary of the family: Transfer RNA (tRNA) molecules are approximately 80 nucleotides in length. Their secondary structure includes four short double-helical elements and three loops (D, anti-codon, and T loops). Lineage: Eukaryota; Viridiplantae; Streptophyta; Magnoliopsida; Cucurbitales; Cucurbitaceae. The record is from RNAcentral. RNAcentral also lists the same sequence under 18 other names.